AAGUUUGCUUAAUUAUCACGCACGGUCUUUGGCUAAUUAAUUCCAAGUCCUUAAUUAGAAUACAUCGAUUAGUUAUUAAGCCUGAUUCUCAUUUAUCGUAAACAUCGGCGAUGCCCAUUGUCGGUGGUCAUUGAUUUACCCCGUCAGUGGAAAAAUAAUCACCCUAUAUUAAAGAAGGCAAGAAUUUAUUAAUUUCUUGAUCAGUGCGUUCAACUGAAAGUUUGCUGCCGCCCCCCCCNNNNNNNNNNNNNNNNNNNNACCAUACCAUUUCAUUGAUAUAAAAAUUCUUUGAAAAACACUAUAACUAGUGCCAGGCUCCAACGGACCAUUAAAAUAAUCACUUGGAGUUGACCUCCGUUUUCGUGAAGUUGGAUCAUCUGUUUCAUAUUAAUCUGACACUGCAAUCGAGCAACGAAAAAUUCGUUGGCUCGAGCGCGGAAUUUGAACUCGCAUGUUCAAAUCCCGAAGAUGCGAGUUCAAAGAUGCGAGUUCAAAGAUGCGAGUUCAAAUCCCGCUCGAGCUAGCGAAUUUUUCGUUGCUCGAUUGCAGUGUCAGAUUAAUAUGAAACUAGUUUUUCGUAUCUCUGAGGAUGGUUCUGAAAUAGAAUUGAAACACUGCGCGUCCUCUAAGACAAGCGUUAAGUCGUCACGAAA
RNAcentral lists this long non-coding RNA (653 nucleotides) under Paramuricea clavata. The record is from RNAcentral. Lineage: Eukaryota; Metazoa; Cnidaria; Anthozoa; Malacalcyonacea; Plexauridae.